GACGAACCGUGCGAACGUUAUUCGGAAUCACUGGGCUUAAAGGGCGCGUAGGCGGGCCGCCAAGUCAGGGGUGAAAGCCUCCGGCUCAACCGGAGAAGUGCCUUUGAUACUGGCGGCCUAGAGGGAGGUAGGGGCCUGCGGAACUUCCGGUGGAGCGGUGAAAUGCGUAGAUAUCGGAAGGAACGCCGGUGGCGAAAGCGGCGGGCUGGACCUCUACUGACGCUGAGGCGCGAAAGCCAGGGGAGCAAACGGG
RNAcentral lists this ribosomal RNA (253 nucleotides) under uncultured bacterium. RNAcentral's name for it is "partial 16S ribosomal RNA". It matches the Rfam family "Bacterial small subunit ribosomal RNA", at positions 524 to 776 of the family's 1533-position model. The record is from RNAcentral.